Molecule: ribosomal RNA, 497 nt
Filed under: uncultured bacterium
Lineage: Bacteria
Description: partial 16S ribosomal RNA
Rfam family: Bacterial small subunit ribosomal RNA
Source: RNAcentral
GAUGAACGCUGGCGGCGUGCCUAAUACAUGCAAGUCGAGCGAACGGAGGUGUAUCUUGUGUUUCUGAUGUUAGCGGCGGGCGAGUGAGUAACACUUGGAGAACCUAACUAGAAGACUGGGAUUACUUCUGGAAACCGGAGCUAAUACCGGAUAAUAGUAUGAACCGGAGGGUUCACUAGUGAAAGAUUGUCUUGUUGGUACUUAUAUAUGUAUCCGCGCUGCAUUUGCUAGUUGGUAAGGUAACGGCUUACCAAUGCAACGAUGCAUAGCCGACCUGAGAGGGUGAUAGGCCACACUGGAACUGAGACACGGUCCAGACUCCUACGGGAGGCAGCCGUAGGGAAUCUUCCGCAAUGGGCGAAAGCCUGACGGAGCAACGCCGCGUGAGUGAUGAAGGUCUUCGGAUCGUAAAACUCUGUUAUUAGGGAAGAACAUAUGUGUAAGUAACUGUGCACAUCUUGACGGUACCUAAUCAGAAAGCCACGGCUAACUACGUG